UGUGAGUGUAAACUACGUUUAUAUGAAGUCAGUCAGUGCUGCAGGGGGUCGGAUCCACUGGCUUUACACAGGGAGCCCUUUAGAAGAACAUAUCACUAUUUCUACAUGGUCAGAGAUGUGUUGUGUGUUACAUGCAUUUGAAGAGAUUACUGCUCCCCCUAGAGCAUAUACAUUGCUGAAUUCUUGAUUAUUUAAUGUACAGUAGGCAGUUUAAAGGAAUAGUUCUCCAAAAGAUGAAACGUGUCGUCAUUUGCUCACCCUCAUGUCAUUGCAAACCUGCAUGAUUUUCUUAGGUGGAAAAUAUUUUGCAGAAAGUCCAAAUGCCUCAAAAUCUAUAUUUGUCUCUCUGUGUGUGUGUGUGUGUGUGUGUGUGUGUACAACAUAAAAGUAUUUUGUGUUUGUUAUAGAAUGUCAUUCAAAAUCUCAUUUGUUUAUCAAAGGGUCAAAAUCAUGGCAUCAAACCUAGUGUGGUUCAUUAUUUUGUAAUUGUUACAUUUAAUUUAGUCUAGGGUGAAAAUAGAAUCUGGAAAUUGCCAUUUAGCUGAAUAUUUGUCAUGAUUGUCAUUCAUAUAUAUAAAACAGCCCCAUAACAUUAUAUUAUAUAUAAAAUCUCAAAAAAUGUGAACGCAAAUAGCUUCUGAAUUGCUCUGGUGAUUCUUAAAUGUCUUUUGAUGUUUCUUUGAAGUAAGAUCACAUGCAGGUUUGAAAUGACAUGAGUAGGUGAAUAUGGUAAAUAUUUUAUUUGUGUGUUUCUCUGUGAACCGCAGUAACCCUGCGCUCUCUGACCGUACCGCAUGUACGGGAGAGAAAACUGAUGUCGCUCCGAGCCAGCUCAGCAACAUUAAGCUCUUCUCUUUUCUAAAUCUGUCCUCCUGUCAAGGUUUUAAAUACUACGGUCCUGGCUAUAGACCUAUCCUGAAAAGAUCUGGCCUCCAUAUUGUCAUGUUUGUGGGGAUCAUCCACUUGUGAUAUACAGAUGUUAGAGGUGUUGUUCUGCACAGUAUGGGUAUGUUUUUAAAAUAAGUCUGAGAAAGGGCUGUGAUGACCCUCAACCAGAGCAGCUGUCAGAUAUCACUGCAGUUUUAUAGAUGACUGGUUAUUUUAAUCUGCUCAAAUCAUUUCAUCGGGUCAGUUUCUUUGCUUACAACUGUUUGUUUGUAGUAGUACGCUUGGCAUUGUCAGAUCAUCCACCCAGAAUAUAGUACUAUUGUUUUUUUUUUUUUUUUUUUUAAAUAUGAAUCACAUAUACAUGAUCCACAUAUGUUGGUCUUAUGCAGUAUCUUUACGAAAUUACAAUGUCAUCUAUGGAAUCUGUGCAAUAGAGGCCCAACAGAGUUAUGUUGAUGCUCUGGCUUCCUUUUAUAAUAUAUCAAAAUGAUUGGCAGUAACCGGUGAGCACUAUCAGCCUUUCCAAACCAUUGUUUCUAACCUUAACUGUGUAAAACAAGGAAACAAACUAUUUGCAUCAUUAUCAGCCUUGCAUUAGUUUAGUUCAAACACUUUUUAUACAAUGAAUACAUCAAGGCUCGUCUUUAUUUUAAAGCGUGUCCUGUACAUCUGCACAGUCUGCAGACAAUCAGAACAUCUUCAUUUACGACACCCUACAGUUUCACAGCUGAUAAAUGUGAGACCUGACAGUAAUGUUAUUUGUUGAUCUGGUUCCUCACUGUUCUAAAAACAAGGUUCAAAUUGGAACUUUUCAUCCCUUCUUUUAUUAUUUGUAUAGAGUGAAAAUUGAAGCUGCUAAUAACUAUGCAGCUAAACAAUUGUCUUUAUACAUAGGUCUUCAGUUAGUUUACAUGGAAUGAAUUUGGGUAAAUAGGGCCACAAUUUUUGCAUUAAUUUUGCAUAUAUAUAUAUAUAUAUAAUAUAUAAACACACGCACGCACACAGAAUUAAUUCUACUUUCUAUUAACACUUUCAAAAUACAUGUUUAUUAAUUUCUCUACACUUUUGUUUAGCUAAACUAGGGGUCUCCAAACCCUGUCCUGCAGAGUUUAGCUCUAACCCUAAGUAAAUGCACCUGAACCAGCUAAUAAAGGCAAGUUGGAGCUAAACUCUGCAGGACACCGGCCCUCCAGGACCGAGUUUGUAGACCCCUGUGCUAAACUGUAAAAUAGCUGUUCUGCUCCCUGCAGUAAUGAUUUCAUGUUACAGCGGUUUUGGAAAGCCUUAAAGAGUGAAGGCAUGACCAAAGAGCACAGGAUUAAAAAUCUGCUUGCCUUAGAGUGAUAAUAUGACCUGAAAAAAACACUAUAAAAAAAAUCUAUAUUAUAUAUAUUAAUUGGGUUCGCUUCAGUUUUGAAUUGGUUAACUGAUUUAGUCAUACACAUUCAUAAAAAUGCUUCGAGUGGUUGUUAAAUAAAAUUUUUGCGGCUGUGGUCUAAACUCAUGUCAUGACUUCAGUUUUUACCAUUGCCACACACAACAGGGUUUCACCCUGAUGGUGCGAUGAUUGCAUUAUGCUUUAAGGGCUUGAGUGUUUGUUUCUGUGUGUCUUUGCCUCCGUGUGUGUGUGUGUCCUCAAGCAAGAACCAUCUGGAGUCAUAUGAUUAUUUUCACCUUUAUUUGAAGAGUCAACUGAUGCAUGUAGUUACCCAAGUAGAAAACACCCAUCAUUUGUUUGACUACCUGAGACAGGACAACUAUAUAAAAAUGAGGCCUAUUUUUGUACUAUCAAUGGUGCAUUGUCAUUUACAUGUAAUUUAAAGAUUAUUUUGCUCUUUUUUUUUUUUCUUCUUCUUUUUAUUUAAUUGAUGUCAAUAUGCGAAUUAAAGAUUAUACAAAUAAAUAAAGAUCUAUGCAAACUUCAUAA
Long non-coding RNA from Carassius carassius (crucian carp), 2815 nucleotides. RefSeq lists it as uncharacterized. The record is from RefSeq and is a predicted model, not a curated record. Lineage: Eukaryota; Metazoa; Chordata; Actinopteri; Cypriniformes; Cyprinidae. The transcript has 2 exons.